GACGAACGCUGGCGGCGUGCCUAAUACAUGCAAGUCGAGCGAAGUUUUUCUGGUGCUUGCACUAGAAAAACUUAGCGGCGAACGGGUGAGUAACACGUAAAGAACCUGCCUCAUAGACUGGGACAACUAUUGGAAACGAUAGCUAAUACCGGAUAACAGCAUUAACUGCAUGGUUGAUGUUUGAAAGUUGGUUAUGCUAACACUAUGAGAUGGCUUUGCGGUGCAUUAGCUAGUUGGUGGGGUAAAGGCCCACCAAGGCGACGAUGCAUAGCCGACCUGAGAGGGUGAUCGGCCACACUGGGACUGAGACACGGCCCAGACUCCUACGGGAGGCAGCAGUAGGGAAUCUUCCGCAAUGGGCGAAAGCCUGACGGAGCAACGCCGCGUGAGUGAAGAAGGAUUUCGGUUCGUAAAGCUCUGUUGUUAGGGAAGAAUGGAUAUGUAGUAACUAUACAUGUACGAGACGGUACCUAACCAGAAAGCCACGGCUAACUACGUGCCAGCAGCCGCGGUAAUACGUAGGUGGCAAGCGUUGUCCGGAAUUAUUGGGCGUAAAGCGCGCGCAGGUGGUUUAAUAAGUCUGAUGUGAAAGCCCACGGCUCAACCGUGGAGGGUCAUUGGAAACUGUUAAACUUGAGUGCAGGAGAGAAAAGUGGAAUUCCUAGUGUAGCGGUGAAAUGCGUAGAGAUUAGGAGGAACACCAGUGGCGAAGGCGGCUUUUUGGCCUGUAACUGACACUGAGGCGCGAAAGCGUGGGGAGCAAACAGG
This 768-nucleotide ribosomal RNA is filed under the name uncultured bacterium. RNAcentral describes it as "bacterial SSU rRNA". It matches the Rfam family "Bacterial small subunit ribosomal RNA", at positions 28 to 776 of the family's 1533-position model. The record is from RNAcentral.